AGUGAACGCUGGCGGCAGGCCUAACACAUGCAAGUCGAGCGGCAGCGGGUCCCCGCGAGGGGAUGCCGGCGAGCGGCGGACGGGUGAGGAACACAUCGGAAUCUGCCUGGUUGUGGGGGAUAACGUAGGGAAACUUACGCUAAUACCGCAUGAGACCCUGAGUCGACGGACUGGGGGUGAAAGUGAGGGACCUUCGGGCCGUCACGCGACCAGAUGAGCCGAUGUCGGAUUAGCUAGUUGGCGGGGUAACGGCCCGCCAAGGCGACGAUCCGUAGCUGGUCUGAGAGGAUGAUCAGCCACACUGGGACUGAGACACGGCCCAGACUCCUACGGGAGGCAGCAGUGGGGAAUCUUGGACAAUGGGCGCAAGCCUGAUCCAGCCAUGCCGCGUGGGUGAAGAAGG
Molecule: ribosomal RNA, 403 nt
Filed under: uncultured bacterium
Lineage: Bacteria
Description: bacterial SSU rRNA
Rfam family: Bacterial small subunit ribosomal RNA
Source: RNAcentral